Molecule: ribosomal RNA, 511 nt
Filed under: Priestia megaterium
Lineage: Bacteria; Bacillati; Bacillota; Bacilli; Caryophanales; Bacillaceae
Description: bacterial SSU rRNA
Rfam family: Bacterial small subunit ribosomal RNA
Source: RNAcentral
UACCCUGUAGAGCCCGUUGCUAAUACAUGCAGUCGAGCGAACUGAUUAGAAGCUUGCUUCUAUGACGUUAGCGGCGGACGGGUGAGUAACACGUGGGCAACCUGCCUGUAAGACUGGGAUAACUUCGGGAAACCGAAGCUAAUACCGGAUAGGAUCUUCUCCUUCAUGGGAGAUGAUUGAAAGAUGGUUUCGGCUAUCACUUACAGAUGGGCCCGCGGUGCAUUAGCUAGUUGGUGAGGUAACGGCUCACCAAGGCAACGAUGCAUAGCCGACCUGAGAGGGUGAUCGGCCACACUGGGACUGAGACACGGCCCAGACUCCUACGGGAGGCAGCAGUAGGGAAUCUUCCGCAAUGGACGAAAGUCUGACGGAGCAACGCCGCGUGAGUGAUGAAGGCUUUCGGGUCGUAAAACUCUGUUGUUAGGGAAGAACAAGUACAAGAGUAACUGCUUGUACCUUGACGGUACCUAACCAGAAAGCCACGGCUAACUACGUGCCAGCAGCCGGAAUA